CAGCAGCCGCGGUAAAACGAAGGGUGCAAGCGUUACUCGGAAUUACUGGGCGUAAAGCGUGCGUAGGUGGUGGUUUAAGUCCGUUGUGAAAGCCCUGGGCUCAACCUGGGAAUUGCAGUGGAUACUGGGUCACUAGAGUGUGGUAGAGGAUAGUGGAAUUUCCGGUGUAGCAGUGAAAUGCGUAGAGAUCGGAAGGAACAUCUGUGGCGAAGGCGACUAUCUGGGCCAACACUGACACUGAGGCACGAAAGCGUGGGGAGCAAACGGGAUUAGAUACCCCCGUAGUCCCUGUCUCUUAUAC
RNAcentral lists this ribosomal RNA (301 nucleotides) under uncultured bacterium. RNAcentral describes it as "partial 16S ribosomal RNA". It matches the Rfam family "Bacterial small subunit ribosomal RNA", at positions 509 to 807 of the family's 1533-position model. The record is from RNAcentral.